RNAcentral lists this ribosomal RNA (774 nucleotides) under uncultured Neocallimastigales. Its description in RNAcentral is "partial large subunit ribosomal RNA". It matches the Rfam family "Eukaryotic large subunit ribosomal RNA", at positions 20 to 644 of the family's 3401-position model. The record is from RNAcentral. Lineage: Eukaryota; Fungi; Neocallimastigomycota; Neocallimastigomycetes; Neocallimastigales.
UACUAGAGUAGCACUCGCAUAUCAAUAAGCGGAGGAAAAGAAACUAACAAGGAUUCCCCUAGUAACGGCGAGUGAAGCGGGAAGAGCUCAAAUUUGAAAUCUUAAAGGGUUUCCCUUUACGAAUUGUAGUUUAAAGAAGUGUUUUCUGUUGAGGUUUUGGUAAAAGUUCUUUGGAAUAGGACAUCAUAGAGGGUGAGAAUCCCGUAUUUGACCUUUACUUUCAACUUUGUGAUACACUUUCAAAGAGUCGGAUUGUUUGGGAAUGCAGUCCAAAAUGGGUGGUAAAUUUCAUCUAAAGCUAAAUAUUGGCGAGAGACCGAUAGCGAACAAGUACCGUGAGGGAAAAAUGAAAAGAACUUUGAAAAGAGAGUUAAACAGUACGUGAAAUUGUCAAAAGGGAAGCGUUUGACACCAGUGUUGUUUUUCUGAAAAUCAAUUAAAGAACUGUUUAUGCUAAGUUGUUUAGACUUUAUCAGCUAUCUGCUUAGUUUUGAGCUUUUCUUUAAUGCACUUUUCAGUUAACAAGUCAACAUCAAUUUCUUUUGCUGUAAAAAAGCUUGAGGAAGGUGGCUUGAGAUUCGUCUUAAGUGUUUAUAGCCUCUUGCCUAUGCAGUCGGAGAGAUUGAGGUCUGCAGCGUAGAUCCUUCGGGGCUAAAUGCAUUUGUGCUAAGUUAUAGCAUUUCAUAGACAACUUGUUGACUAUGAUUUGUCUUGUAGCUUACUCGCUUAUGUUAUUUUACCUACGCUUAGGAUGUUGAACUACUGAGACAUAGA